CCUACGGGAGGCAGCAGUGAGGAAUAUUGGUCAAUGGCCGGAAGGCUGAACCAGGCAUGCCGCGUGAAGGGCAGGGACCUAGGGGCGUUAAACUUCUUUUGUGCGGGAGCAAUAAUGGUCACGUGGGGCCAGACGAGAGUACCGUACGAAGAAGCAUCGGCUAACUCCGUGCCAGCAGCCGCGGUAAUACGGGGGAUGCAAGCGUUAGCCGGCUUUCUUGGGGUUAAAGGGGGCGUAGGCUGUGAGGUAAGUCAGCGGUGAAAUGCCCCCACUCACCGGGGUGAAGUGCCAUUGAUACUGCCUUGCUGGACUGCGGCUGCCGUGGGUGGUCUGUGUGGUGUAGCGG
Molecule: ribosomal RNA, 346 nt
Filed under: uncultured bacterium
Lineage: Bacteria
Description: partial 16S ribosomal RNA
Rfam family: Bacterial small subunit ribosomal RNA
Source: RNAcentral